UGGUGGGCUAGACCGGCGCACUAGUCCUGCGUUGUAACCGUAAAUGGGCUAUAUGACGGGGUCGAAGACCUGAGAGAGGUAUAAGCCCAGACUAUCAGUCUUGGCUCGUACAAUGACUUUCUGUCCUGUAGGAUCUACCUCAGCAGUAAUCGUGUCAGGACAGGAAUGUAGCAGCACUACCUGUUGUGGUGGGUGCUUACAGGGUAGCGGAAAUGAGGAAAAGUCAAGGUCGCUGAUGGCCUGUGUUUAUAUCCAUCUUUGGUUGUGCCCACCA
RNAcentral lists this signal recognition particle RNA (274 nucleotides) under Candidatus Woesearchaeota archaeon. RNAcentral's name for it is "signal recognition particle sRNA". It matches the Rfam family "Archaeal signal recognition particle RNA". The record is from RNAcentral. Lineage: Archaea; Nanobdellati; Candidatus Woesearchaeota.